AUGUGCCUGAGCGUCUCGCGAGGACAUCUCCGGGAAUCUCCAGCUGCACCAGAAGCCCGCAGAUUGUUCUCUGAAAUGCUGGCACUCGGUCACACCCUUACCAGGAAGGUCACCGCCCCCACUGCCAACACCCUGGGACCCUGGAUCAGAAACCAUCCUAUAGAGAAACAUGGUAUUCCUAGCCUCACCCCGGAGCCUAAGGACACGUCAUCAGAAGUGGUAGGUUUGCAUCUACAGAGAUAUUUAGAGGAGAAGCAUCUCUUAAAACCUCUCUGCAAAAGUCCAGAAGUGGGGUGAAAUAGCUUGCAGAAAACCACACCGCGAUUGAAGUGGUAGAAUUCAGAUUCAAAUCCAGAUCAAGUGCAAAGACGAAGUUGGUGGGCCUUGAAUCACACCAGGCUUCCUAAGGUGAGAUACUGUGACGGCUGGCUGGGUCAGAGGGUUGAGGAAGCUGUGUGGGGUUCAGGAAAAGCCUCCACAGGAGACCUUCUGAAAGCAACUUGAGAACAUCAAUUCAUCGGUUGAAAUGAUAUACUGCUGAAACUCAUUGUUUUAAAAUAAGGCAUAUAUAGUUCUUUAUUAUAAGGUCAAGCAUUGUUCAAAGUGUCUUGCAAAUACUAGCCCAUUUCUGUGUGUUCAUUAAAACGUUUUCUGAAGCCAGCACCCUGCAAUUAUAGGCUUUACAAACUGCUACUGUAAUUCCAAGAGUGCCAAACCCAGUGGCUGACAAUGAGCCCCCAUCACUGACCAAGGAAAUCUGAGGGGUGCGGAAGCGGGCAGGAGGUGUGGAGGGGAUUCAAAGGAGUGGACAACGGGCUAUCGUUUUUCCUGUUUUCCUACAAAGUUACAGAGGAGGCUGGCAGGAUUAAUCUGUGACCUACUUACCUCUCAUGUCACAGGUUACUGGAUCUCUAAAGACUGUGGUUCUUGCUUGGUUUUUUGGAACAAAGAGAGACAGCAAUGACGGAGCCUGUGAGAUAAGCACUGUGGACUCCUGCUACAGUUUCUGCCACCUCUGGGGGAGUAGCUCCGGAAGUAGUCGCUGUGACUUGCCCGCCAGCCCGGUGCUCGUCCUACCGCCAGGGCACAGGCAGGCUCAGGCUUCCGGCCCUUCCUGAAGAGGGGCAAGGUAAGUUAUUUAUGAAAAUAAGGGAAGAGGAAUAAAAUAUUCCAAUGAUAAAGAACGAAGAUUUAUAAUAAUUAAAAAAACAACAACCCUU
RNAcentral lists this long non-coding RNA (1220 nucleotides) under Sus scrofa (pig). Its description in RNAcentral is "lncRNA (ENSSSCG00005010014.1)". Lineage: Eukaryota; Metazoa; Chordata; Mammalia; Artiodactyla; Suidae. The record is from RNAcentral.